CCUUCGGGAGCUUUUAUACAGGUGCUGCACGGCUGUCGUCAGCUCGUGUCGUGAGAUGUUGGGUUAAGUCCCGCAACGAGCGCAACCCUCGUCACUAGUUACUAACGGUUCGGCCGAGGACUCUAGUGAGACUGCCUUCGUAAGGAGGAGGAAGGUGAGGACGACGUCAAGUCAUCAUGGCCCUUACGGCUAGGGCAACACACGUGCUACAAUGGCCAGGACAGUGAGAAGCGAUACCGCGAGGUGGAGCAAAUCUAUAAACCUGGUCUCAGUUCGGAUUGUAGUCUGCAACUCGACUACAUGAAGCUGGAAUCACUAGUAAUCGUAGAUCAGCUAUGCUACGGUGAAUACGUUCCCGGGUCUUGUACUCACCGCCCGUCACACCAUGGGAGUUGAUUUCACCCGAAGCGGGGAAGCUAAACUGGCUACCCUCCACGGUGGAAUCAGCGACUGGGGUGAAGUCGUAACAAGGUA
Molecule: ribosomal RNA, 474 nt
Filed under: uncultured bacterium
Lineage: Bacteria
Description: bacterial SSU rRNA
Rfam family: Bacterial small subunit ribosomal RNA
Source: RNAcentral